This 21-nucleotide non-coding RNA is filed under the name Rattus norvegicus (Norway rat). Lineage: Eukaryota; Metazoa; Chordata; Mammalia; Rodentia; Muridae. The record is from RNAcentral.
UGAGAUUAACUGUUUUGCCUU